GAUGAACGCUGGCGGCGUGCUUAACACAUGCAAGUCGAACGGAAAGGCCAGUGCUUGCACUGGUACUCGAGUGGCGAACGGGUGAGUAACACGUGGGUGAUCUGCCCUGCACUUCGGGAUAAGCCUGGGAAACUGGUUCUAUUCCCGGUUAGGACAAUGGUUUGGUUGCGGUUUUGGAAGGUUUUUUCGGUGUGGGAUGAGCUCGCGGCCUAUCAGCUUGUUGGUGGGGUAAUGGCCUACCAAGGCGUCGACGGGUAGCCGGCCUGAGAGGGUGUACGGCCACAUUGGGACUGAGAUACGGCCCAGACUCCUACGGGAGGCAGCAGUGGGGAAUAUUGCACAAUGGGCGCAAGCCUGAUGCAGCGACGCCGCGUGGGGGAUGACGGCCUUCGGGUUGUAAACUCCUUUCGCUAGGGACGAAGCGUAUUUGUGACGGUACCUGGAGAAGAAGCACCGGCUAACUACGUG
Molecule: ribosomal RNA, 468 nt
Filed under: uncultured bacterium
Lineage: Bacteria
Description: partial 16S ribosomal RNA
Rfam family: Bacterial small subunit ribosomal RNA
Source: RNAcentral